AUUGAACGCUGGCGGCAUGCUUUACACAUGCAAGUCGAACGGUAACAGGCCUUCGGGUGCUGACGAGUGGCGAACGGGUGAGUAAUGCAUCGGAACGUACCCAGAGUUGGGGGAUAACGCAGCUAAAGCUGUGCUAAUACCGCAUGUGAUCUGAGGAUGAAAGCGGGGGACCGAGCAGCAAUGUUUGGCCUCGCGCCUUUGGAGCGGCCGAUGUCGGAUUAGCUAGUUGGGGGGGUAAAGGCCUACCAAGGCGACGAUCCGUAGCUGGUCUGAGAGGACGACCAGCCACACUGGGACUGAGACACGGACCAGACUCCUACGGGAGGCAGCAGUGGGGAAUUUUGGACAAUGGGCGCAAGCCUGAUCCAGCAAUGCCGCGUGAGGGAAGAAGGCCUUCGGGUUGUAAACCGCUUUUGGCAGGAACGAAACGGUGUCCGCUAAUACCGGGCGAUAAUGACGGUACCUGGAGAAUAAGCACCGGCUAACUACGUG
Molecule: ribosomal RNA, 492 nt
Filed under: uncultured bacterium
Lineage: Bacteria
Description: partial 16S ribosomal RNA
Rfam family: Bacterial small subunit ribosomal RNA
Source: RNAcentral